UCGGCCGGUUCCAGGGCCGGGGCCGGCUCCGUGCUGCUCGUGGGGUGCCGGGGGCGGCCACGCCGUGUCUCGGCCAGGAGCUUGCGGAGCCCACAGCGCCCCAGCACGGCCGCCCCGGCUCGUCUCGUCUCGCCGCCCUUCCCCGCCUCCCCCCACACCCCGGCCCGCCUCCCCGCCGAGGAGCGGCUUCCCCCAGGAGAGCGGUCAGGCCCCCUCCGCGGGGAUUUAUCGCGACAGCGGCGAUACAAGGAGAGGCACAGCCGAAAUCUCCAGAAAGCCAUCGCCGGCCCUGCCCGCGCGGUUUGAGGUCCUUGGGAAUUUUGUCAGAGCUUGAAGACAAACUUGCCGGUAAGGGUGGAAGGGGAAGAAGAGUCGUGUGAUUCACGUUCUGUGGUGAGCUGCCUGUUUUGUGGACACUCUAAAACAGAAGUUUGAAGAAGAUAAAGUGGUGACUCGGAGUUCCCAAAACGAGAGGCUGGCUACCAAGGGAAAAAUCAGAGUAUUCAGUAUCAGAAUAUCGCUGCUUCUGGAAACCCCCUUCUUUUUCCUUUAGUAAAUUUAGAUUCAUUUUGUCAGAUAACUUAAAUGACAUCAUAACUGGCUUAAAUUUUCAUUGUUCAAGUGAAGUGGCAUAAAUUGCAGCUAAAAUACAAAGUAAUUCCAAAAUAAAUCUUUAAAUCAUUCCUUUGAAAUUCUGCUGAAACUGUUAAUGGCUGCAAAACUCAAAUACAUCUUGUAUCAAUGGAAGUUUUGUCUGUGGUGUCCUGAUUUUUAGAUUAACAAGUGCAAUUGUCUUUGAAUCUAUGUUGUAAUGGCUUACAGAAUAGCUGUGUAACAAUACCUGUUGACUUUGUUUCCAACCAUAAAUCGGUUCAUGGCCUUGUGCCUGAAAGACUUUCAUUAUGCUCAGUCUCAAUACAUGCAGUUGAUUUUCCUUUUAAUCACUCAGUUUUAACCACUGUUGAGAAAUACCUUUAUAAUUGUUUGUCUCAAUCAAUACAAGACCUAACUUGUUUCAGCAGUUUAUUACAUGUAAAAAAUUCUAAACCUUUUUGUUUCCUUUGCUACUGAUUUUUAACUUAAUCACUUCGGUUUCUCUAAAUGUAAUCAAGAGUCCCUUUUUGCAGUAAAUGCCAAGUGACCGCCAGGAAAAAUCUUUAGCAGAUUUAAGGAUAAUCAGUUACUGCAUGAUGGACUUCAGUUAGCUUCUACUCUCUGAAUGUGCUGAAGACUGAGAAAAUAAACAUUUUCAAGUAAAACUCCACAUAUCUGCUUAUGCAACCAUAGCAGCACCUCAGACUUUGCUUGUGCAGGACAUACAACGCCUGUCAGUGACGAACAAAUGUGCGAUGGACUUACCCAGCACGUGGUCUUAGAGAAGAAAAGUGCGAUGGGACUGGACUUCUGGAGCCUAAUUAAGUCUACACUGUUUCUGUCAGUGCUGCUGCCACAUUUGAAUGAGGAGGUGACGUAAUCCGUAAUUCACCAUCUGUCUCAUUGUGUCAGGUGAUAAAUGACCUGGUGCAGCAAGCUCUGCCUUUCCCAUUGCUUGUUAUCUAAUGGACAUAAUAAUGAAAAGGUGCUCAGUGAUACUAAAAGAGAAGUCUCAAAAUCCUUCACUGUGCCUAUAGACAGGAUACCUCUUCAUGUGGGCUUCUCAGGGUAGAUCAGCUUUUGGAUAAAACUGACGCUUUUGUUAAAUACUGUUUCUAAAUGAUAGAGUAUUUAGGCCAUGGAGCAAAGAAGCAGCUGCCUCUUGGUUUCUUCCUUGAGCUUUUAACUUGCUGAAUAUUUGUGAGAAUUCCCACUGAUCAUUUGCAUUCUGAAGAAGUCUGUGGUCUGCCUUGCUUCUUCACAUGGGAAUUUCCACACAGAUAGUGAGAUAAGUGAAGAUCCAGAACAAACAGGGUAUUUUAUUGUAUUUUUCCUUAUACCUUGAUUAGUGUUGUAAUAAAAAAAAAAUUCGUUGUCAUGAUUUAAGAAGUAUCGAACUUCUCAUUUUUGUUGUUGUUGUUUUUGUUUUUUAAUUACUACUUUUUUUUGGUGGUGGUAUUUACAGGUACUUUGCAAGUAGGAUAAUGGCAGGAUUUAAGUGGCAGGGUCUUUGCAAGUAGGAUUUUAUGGCAGGAUUUAAAAUGGCAGGCCCAGUAAAAUGGACUUGUUAUCUGGCCCACAAAGUCUGGGGAGAUGUGUAUAGCAAGCUGCUGUAUUUUUAGCAAGGUAGUAAAAAAAGUAAGUGGUAAAUGAUUAAAAUCAUGUAGCAGAAAUGACUAUGUCUUAUGAAGAUAAUUAAACACUUACUCGGGUCACUAAUGCAAUUUUCUGUGAACAUGUUAACAUUUAAUAUCCAUUAUCAUGAUGUAUUGCAUAUGACUCACCUGAGGACAGGAAAAUGCUAAUCUUAAGUACACUAAUCUGUAUCACUUAGAUAAAACUAUUUAGAUGAGCAUAUGAAGUAACAGAGAAGCGUGGCAGUAGUCAGAACAUGGACUUCUGUACUUUGCCAUUAUAUUGCUCGUUAAACUUUUGGCUAUUGGACUUAAGCAUGACAGACCUCAUUACCUAUUAAAUAGUCAGAAACACUUGAGAAACAGAUGCUAUUUUUCUCUUAUCUACUCACAGGUUCUGAAUUUUAUAUGUAUAUUUAGGGUUGAAUAAAGGAUUAUGUUUCAGAAAAUGCGUUUUCAUUCAGUAAUAUCGGAAUCUUUGUCCUUGCUUUUUGUGGUGUUUACAGCCUUUAAAUAAAAAGAGAAUGCUUAUUUAACAGGCUUUUAAAUGAAAAGAGAAUGUAUAUUUGUUUUAUAAUAGGUUUGUUUAAGGAGUAUUUUCUCUUCAAAAUAUUUCGGUAUGUUUUGUACUACCCACAUACAAGGAAUAAAGGAGUUUGGUAUUGACUUCUUCA
Molecule: long non-coding RNA, 2902 nt
Organism: Anas platyrhynchos (mallard)
Lineage: Eukaryota; Metazoa; Chordata; Aves; Anseriformes; Anatidae
Source: RefSeq, a predicted model, not a curated record